CGCUGGCGGCGUGCUUAACACAUGCAAGUCGAACGGUGAACCAGGGCUUGCCCUGGGGAUCAGUGGCGAACGGGUGAGUAACACGUGGGCAACCUGCCCCUGACUCUGGGAUAACUCCUCGAAAGAGGUGCUAAUACCGGAUACGACCACUUCGGGCAUCCGAUGGUGGUGGAAAGAAUUUUGGUCAGGGAUGGGCCCGCGGCCUAUCAGCUUGUUGUGGGGUAACGGCCCACCAAGGCGACGACGGGUAGCCGGCCUGAGAGGGCGACCGGCCACACUGGGACUGAGACACGGCCCAGACUCCUACGGGAGGCAGCAGUGGGGAAUAUUGCGCAAUGGGCGAAAGCCUGACGCAGCGACGCCGCGUGAGGGACGACGGCCUUCGGGUUGUAAACCUCUUUCAGCAGGGACGAAGCGAAAGUGACGGUACCUGCAGAAGAAGCACCGGCUAACUACGUG
RNAcentral lists this ribosomal RNA (459 nucleotides) under uncultured bacterium. RNAcentral describes it as "bacterial SSU rRNA". It matches the Rfam family "Bacterial small subunit ribosomal RNA", at positions 34 to 507 of the family's 1533-position model. The record is from RNAcentral.